GAGAACAAAAGAGAGCAAGCAAAUACUGAUGUCAGUCUCAGAACAACAUUCAAAGAAGAAGACCUAUGGUCUUAAACAAUGGAUGAAUUGUGUAUUUCUAUACCGGGAUCUUCCAUGGUGAGGUUUUGGGGGGAUAGAGAUACGGCUAAGAGCAAGAAAUUUUUUUUUCUCUCUCUACCACCAUAUUAUAGCACAAGAGCCUGAUUAAAGGAGAUAAGGGACAACAAAGACGCAUUAGCGACCGAGUCUUUGCAAUACAUCAGAGAUGCAAGAGAGACAGAGACGUUAAAACACUAGUAAAUAGGACAG
This is a long non-coding RNA of Brassica oleracea var. oleracea, 309 nucleotides long. RefSeq lists it as uncharacterized. The record is from RefSeq and is a predicted model, not a curated record. The transcript has 3 exons. NCBI's taxonomy places the organism in Eukaryota, Viridiplantae, Streptophyta, Magnoliopsida, Brassicales, Brassicaceae.